UACGAAGGGUGCAAGCGUUACUCGGAAUUACUGGGCGUAAAGCGUGCGUAGGUGGUUUGUUAAGUCUGAUGUGAAAGCCCUGGGCUCAACCUGGGAAUGGCAUUGGAUACUGGCAGGCUAGAGUGCGGUAGAGGGUAGUGGAAUUCCCGGUGUAGCAGUGAAAUGCGUAGAUAUCGGGAGGAACAUCCGUGGCGAAGGCGGCUACCUGGACCAGCACUGACACUGAGGCACGAAAGCGUGGGGAGCAAACAGG
Molecule: ribosomal RNA, 253 nt
Filed under: uncultured bacterium
Lineage: Bacteria
Description: partial 16S ribosomal RNA
Rfam family: Bacterial small subunit ribosomal RNA
Source: RNAcentral